Molecule: ribosomal RNA, 354 nt
Filed under: Triticum aestivum (bread wheat)
Lineage: Eukaryota; Viridiplantae; Streptophyta; Magnoliopsida; Poales; Poaceae
Description: partial small subunit ribosomal RNA
Source: RNAcentral
AUGCUAAUAUACAGGCGAAGUGAUUCCCUAGAGAUAAAAGGGUAUUCAGACACAGAUUUUGCGGGGGACAGAGAUGAUAGAAAAUCCACGUCAGGAUACGUAUUCACCCUCGCUGGGGGAGCUAUUUCGUGGAAAAGCUCCAAACAAUCGAUAGUUGCAUCAUCCACGAUAUAUGCAGAAUUCAUAGCAUGCUUCGAGGCCACGGGGCAGGCGAUAUGGCUAAAGAAAUUUAUACCCGACUUAAAAGUGGUAGAUUGUAUUCACAAACCACUAAAGAUGAACUGUGACAACCAGCCCGCAGUAUUUUACGCUCACAACAACAAGUCGAGUAAUGCUGCCAAAACAAUAGAGAUA